UCUUGUCGGAACCUAUCACACACCAACAUCACAACCAACCCAAUUUGCAUAAAUACAAUUCUAAAAGCUAUUUCUUAAAUCAAGCCCCACUAGUUAUUCCUAACUAGCUUCCAAUUACCAUUUGACUGGCUAUCUAUUCUCUCUACUCUAGUAUCACUAGAAAUAAAUAAACAAACCUCAACAAUAAAACAACUCACAACUCCAAUUACUAGCCAUUAUCAACAACCAAAAAUCAAUCCUCAUUCAUUACUCAC
This 254-nucleotide long non-coding RNA is filed under the name Theobroma cacao (cacao). RNAcentral's name for it is "long non-coding RNA (TCAC_LNC002419)". The record is from RNAcentral. Lineage: Eukaryota; Viridiplantae; Streptophyta; Magnoliopsida; Malvales; Malvaceae.